GACGAACGCUGGCGGCGUGCCUAAUACAUGCAAGUCGAACGCAGUGGGGACGGGUGAGUAACACGUGGGUCACCUCCCAUCAGAGGGGAUAAAACUUGGAAACAGCUGCAUAACCGAUACUGAUGGAUGGACCCGCGGUGCAUUAGCUAGUUGGGGGGGUAACGGCUCACCAAGGCCACGAGGCAUAGCCGACCUGAGAGGGUGAUCGGCCACACUGGUACUGAGACACGGCCCAGACUCCUACGGGAGGCAGCAGUGGGGAAUAUUCGGCAAUGGACGAAAGUCUGACCGAGCAACGCCGCGUGUGUGAAGAAGGUUUUCGGAUCGUAAAGCUCUGGUGGUAGAGAAGCGGUACCUAACCAGAAAGCCACGGCUAACUCCGUGCCAGCAGCCGCGGUAAUUC
Molecule: ribosomal RNA, 403 nt
Filed under: uncultured bacterium
Lineage: Bacteria
Description: partial 16S ribosomal RNA
Rfam family: Bacterial small subunit ribosomal RNA
Source: RNAcentral